CAAUUAUUGAAAGGUACAGUCUAACUUUUUCUUCUAUAGAGAAGAUCAUGAAAGCAAACUUCUACGUGAUAUAUGGUGUGUUUUAAAACACAUUUCUUCAGUUAUCAAAAUUUACAUUAAUGACAUUGUGAUUAGAUUUUAAGGUUUUUAUUCUAUAAAUAUUCUACUUUCCAUUUAAAGCAGGAAAAAAAAUCUUCUUGUUAGUCUCCUACAUACAAGGGGACAUUUAGAUGAAUGUUCAACAGCAAAUACAGCAGAAUUUUGUUUUCUAACUUGCGUUAAGCAUGGUUAUAACUCCCAGAGCUUACAUGUAUGUUACUGAUUCUAGGAGCCCUUUAAAAGACCUGAAAGACUGCUUGUGAUGAAAAAGUGGGGGAAAACCUAUCAUAAUGUAUCUUUUAAUAUGCCAGUCACCAUCCUAGCUUUCACUGUCUCUUCAGCUAGCUUGAGGAACUCUCAGCCAGCCCAAAAUUGCAGAGGUAUUAGAAAUAAAAAAUAAAUUAAAAAAAAAAAAAAAGUCAAGCAAGGUAAAUACCCACAUUACCCCUUUCUACUUUCCAUGUUGGCCUGCAGGAUUGCCCAGUGUAGAAGGAGCAAGGAAGAACAAACAAAUGAGCAGUUCAUGAGCCGUCCCAUCAGUGUCUCAAGGUCCUCCUGCGCAUAAAUUGCACCUCUCUACUUGAAUGGUGCAAUUAAAAUCAGCUAAAGAAUCUGAGUACCUGAAUACAUGUCUCUAAACUUCUAAUAACAUGGCAGUACAUUUUCCUGGAGAACUAAUUUGUGAGGUCAGGGGAGCAACAACUCCUAAAGAAGCAAUUCACAAGAAUAACAUUAAAGCAGCUUUGACUGCUGUGAACAUCCCAUUGGAACAGGAGAUGCUAACCAGGGAAUGAUCCCUCAAGGGAAACCAUGUAAUGCUAAAGCAUCUGAAUAAGGAGCAUCAUUUCUAAUACUCCGUGUAAUCAGGACACCAUCCUCCUGAACGGGUAAGUACUUCCAUGCUCUUGGGCAUUUCUCUUUUGCUUCAGGAAUAUUGUCCAAGUACAAUUGUCAGGACAGCUUCCAAGGCAUCUCUAGAGGUAUGAUACAGAAUGUACAACAAAUACAGACGUGACCUUUGCAUUGGUAAAACAUCUUUAGUUAUAAGUUUAUGAUUGCUAUUGUUUCAAAUAACAGUGACUGUCAGUACUACAUAAUAGCUCUUUAUUAUUAUGUCUUGUGAUUCUAGAUGUCCUCCUCCACA
RNAcentral lists this long non-coding RNA (1243 nucleotides) under Cairina moschata (Muscovy duck). RNAcentral's name for it is "domestica (muscovy Duck (domestic type)) lncRNA (ENSCMMG00000001378.1)". Lineage: Eukaryota; Metazoa; Chordata; Aves; Anseriformes; Anatidae. The record is from RNAcentral.